AGAUUUUAUUGAUUUUGAAGUGCUGAGAUUCGUGUGUCUUGAAGUUGUCAUCUACUGUUGCCAGUGAUUGGAUCCAUUUGUACCUGCUUGUUUGCCUGACCUCCUGCUGGAACUAUCUACUUUUCACCAUUCUUAUCUUAUCAUUUUUUUUUGAUAAGGUAAAAGUUUAUUAAUAAAGGUACAAUGAAGGUACUCAAAUUACAACUAAACA
Molecule: long non-coding RNA, 211 nt
Filed under: Nicotiana benthamiana
Lineage: Eukaryota; Viridiplantae; Streptophyta; Magnoliopsida; Solanales; Solanaceae
Description: long non-coding RNA (NBEN_LNC032840)
Source: RNAcentral